RNAcentral lists this ribosomal RNA (465 nucleotides) under uncultured organism. RNAcentral describes it as "bacterial SSU rRNA". It matches the Rfam family "Bacterial small subunit ribosomal RNA", at positions 28 to 507 of the family's 1533-position model. The record is from RNAcentral.
GACGAACGCUGGCGGCGUGCUUAACACAUGCAAGUCGAACGGUAAGGCCCUUUUGGGGGUACACGAGUGGCGAACGGGUGAGUAACGCGUGAGUAACCUGCCCUUCACUCUGGGAUAACAGUUGGAAACGGCUGCUAAUACCGGAUAUUCAGAUGCUGUCGCAUGGUGGUGUUUGGAAAGCUUUUGUGGUGGAGGAUGGACUCGCGUCCUAUCAGCUUGUUGGUGGGGUGAUGGCCUACCAAGGCGUCGACGGGUAGCCGGCCUGAGAGGGCGACCGGCCACAUUGGGACUGAGAUACGGCCCAAACUCCUACGGGAGGCAGCAGUGGGGAAUAUUGCACAAUGGGCGGAAGCCUGAUGCAGCAACGCCGCGUGCGGGAUGACGGCCUUCGGGUUGUAAACCGCUUUCAGCAGGGACGAAGCUUUGGUGACGGUACCUGCAGAAGAAGCACCGGCUGACUACGUG